CCGUUAAUCGCUUUAUUUGGAUAAACCAAACAGAGGCACUGAAAGGGACAAGCAAGAGGCAGGGGCGAAAGACAAGCAAGGAGGUUGUAAGCCGGGGAGUCAGUCCUACAGGAAAACACGGGACAAGAUCACACGGGGUAGCGGGAACAGGACGAGCCGGAGCAGGCAGGGUAGACGAGUCAGGAGCGGGGACGGGUCUGGAACGGGAGAGAGAGAGGCACGUUACGCGCAACGAGCCGCAGCUGGUGGUAUUCGCCUGUAUGGGCGUGACAUUACGUCUGCAAGUUGACAUCUGGAGAAUGGGAACUUUGCACAGUCAACCAUGGAGGAAUGUCAAGUGGAAAGAAAGG
Brienomyrus brachyistius is the source of this 350-nucleotide long non-coding RNA. RefSeq lists it as uncharacterized. Lineage: Eukaryota; Metazoa; Chordata; Actinopteri; Osteoglossiformes; Mormyridae. The record is from RefSeq and is a predicted model, not a curated record. The transcript is spliced from 3 exons.